This 431-nucleotide long non-coding RNA is filed under the name Homo sapiens (human). RNAcentral describes it as "novel transcript". Lineage: Eukaryota; Metazoa; Chordata; Mammalia; Primates; Hominidae. The record is from RNAcentral.
AGUGGAAGUUGAACACUGCUUCCACGUGCUCCUGAACUAAAAAUGGGGUCUGGACAGUCCAACAGAGGCAAACUAAACUGUCUGCACUCUACAACUAAGAAAACUUUGUAUCUGGAAACUUUAUAGAUCUGCCAAUGGUUUAUUUGCAGAAAGGACCUAGGAACUUACUAUAAAAGAACUCACCAUCUUUUAGAGGUCCUGGCUAUGGAGGAGGGUUCCAUUCUUACCUGUUGCUCUACAAUGUACAGCUGAUGUUUUACAAUAAAAACAUGGAGUCAUGCUAACUCCCACAUGCCCUACCAUUCACUCUCCCCAAGCCAGUAACAAAGCAGGCAACGCAGCUAAUAUAAUAUUUAGACUAACCGUGAAGAAAAAGAUCUUUCUCCCUUCUGUACUCUGAAUAAAUAAAUUAGUCUGACCAAAUGAAGAAA